RNAcentral lists this ribosomal RNA (301 nucleotides) under uncultured bacterium. RNAcentral's name for it is "partial 16S ribosomal RNA". It matches the Rfam family "Bacterial small subunit ribosomal RNA", at positions 509 to 807 of the family's 1533-position model. The record is from RNAcentral.
CAGUCGCCGCGGGAAUACGAAGGGUGCAAGCGUUAAUCGGAAUUACUGGGCGUAAAGCGCGCGUAGGUGGUUUGGUAAGAUGGAUGUGAAAUCCCCGGGCUCAACCUGGGAACUGCAUCCAUAACUGCCUGACUAGAGUACGGUAGAGGGUGGUGGAAUUUCCUGUGUAGCGGUGAAAUGCGUAGAUAUAGGAAGGAACACCAGUGGCGAAGGCGACCACCUGGACUGAUACUGACACUGAGGUGCGAAAGCGUGGGGAGCAAACAGGAUUAGAUACCCGUGUAGUCCCUGUCUCUUAUAC